GCUUGUCUCAAAGAUUAAGCCAUGCAUGUCUCAGUAUAAGCUUCUACAUGGCGAAACUGCGAAUCGCUCAUUAAAACAGUUAUCGUUUAUUUGGUGGUUGUUUACGACAUGGAUAACCUUGGUAAUUCUAUUGGCGAGUCAUGAUAGCCGAGCGAAUGGCAUGGCAUCGGUUGGCGAUGUACCAUUCAAGUUUCUGACCUAUCAGCUUCCGACGAUAGGGUAUUGGCCUACCGUGGCAAUGACGAGUAGCGGAGAAUUAGGGUUCGAUUCCGGAGAGGGAGCUUGAGAAAUGGCUACCACAUCUAAGGAAGGCAGCAGG
This 319-nucleotide ribosomal RNA is filed under the name uncultured fungus. RNAcentral describes it as "partial small subunit ribosomal RNA". It matches the Rfam family "Eukaryotic small subunit ribosomal RNA", at positions 30 to 432 of the family's 1831-position model. The record is from RNAcentral. Lineage: Eukaryota; Fungi.